AUAGGAAUAACAGUGCAAUUCUCCUUUGGCAUGGUAAUGGAAGCUAUGCAGCAUGCAUAAAAUUCAACUGCAUAUGCCUCUUUCCUUUGCCAAAGGAGAGUUGCCCUGCCAUUCAAUU
This is a microRNA precursor of Ipomoea nil (Japanese morning glory), 118 nucleotides long. It matches the Rfam family "mir-399 microRNA precursor family". Rfam says of the family: mir-399 was identified in both Arabidopsis thaliana and Oryza sativa computationally and was later experimentally verified. mir-399 is thought to target mRNAs coding for a phosphatase transporter. The mature sequence is excised from the 3' arm of the hairpin. The record is from Rfam. Lineage: Eukaryota; Viridiplantae; Streptophyta; Magnoliopsida; Solanales; Convolvulaceae.